This 500-nucleotide ribosomal RNA is filed under the name uncultured bacterium. RNAcentral describes it as "partial 16S ribosomal RNA". It matches the Rfam family "Bacterial small subunit ribosomal RNA", at positions 30 to 523 of the family's 1533-position model. The record is from RNAcentral.
AUUGAACGCUGGCGGCAUGCCUUACACAUGCAAGUCGAACGGCAGCACGGGAGCAAUCCUGGUGGCGAGUGGCGAACGGGUGAGUAAAGUAUCGGAACGUGCCCAGUCGUGGGGGAUAACGUAGCGAAAGUUACGCUAAUACUGCAUACGAUCUAUGGAUGGAAGCGGGGGAUCGCAAGACCUCGCGCGAUUGGAGCGGCCGAUAUCAGAUUAGGUAGUUGGUGGGGUAAAGGCUCACCAAGCCGACGAUAUGUAGCUGGUCUGAGAGGACGACCAGCCACACUGGGACUGAGACACGGCCCAGACUCCUACGGGAGGCAGCAGUGGGGAAUUUUGGACAAUGGGCGAAAGCCUGAUCCAGCCAUGCCGCGUGCAGGAUGAAGGCCUUCGGGUUGUAAACUGCUUUUGUACGGAACGAAAAGGUUUGGCCUAAUAAGCUGAGCUCAUGACGGUACCGUAAGAAUAAGCACCGGCUAACUACGUGCCAGCCGCCGCAGUAA